Molecule: non-coding RNA, 565 nt
Organism: Doryrhamphus excisus (bluestripe pipefish)
Lineage: Eukaryota; Metazoa; Chordata; Actinopteri; Syngnathiformes; Syngnathidae
Source: RefSeq, a predicted model, not a curated record
AGUGAAUUGGGGAGCUAGCUUAUACUGCCUCACGCCAAUCUUCUUGCAUCCAUCAAAAGUUAAAAAAAAGUUAAAGUUAAAUCAUCCCUGGUGGUGAAAGAUCUCAAUUGGAAUUUGAUACUAUGAAGAUGUCCUGUGACACGAACUAAAAGGGUCUCCUGUUCAAGUUCACCUACAUCUGCCAUCCACGUGUGAAAGGGACUCCAGCUUAAUCAAACCAAAGAGAUACUGCAAAGAGAGCAUCAUCAGCCAGUCUCAGGUCUGCAACAAACAUUGAAAGUCCUCCCUGGCUCUCACGCUUAAAGAGCAUCGUCAGAAACCCAACACUUCCGCACCAUGAACUGCAUGUGUGAGGAGCUGUACAGCAAGAUUCUGAGUAAGACAUUAUCCCUAAAAGCCACACCGGCCAGUGAAAUGACAAAGAACAGCUGCUAGGCUGAUUUGUUUAUCUAUUCGUUUGCUUUUUACAACAUAUUUAUUGAUGGCUUAUUAAUUACAUACACACAGAAGCACUUUAUUGCUAUAAAUUAAGCACUUUCAUUGCUUUCUUGUCUUUGUCAUACUU